UGGAUAUGCAUGCCGAAUAAGAAAGAAUAAAAAGUGUGCAGGGCUCUUUGUCCUCCUGCCUAUUAAAGGAAAAAUGAAUAAAUCGAGAAGAAGGAAGAGAAAUAGAGUCAAACAAGUAGAGAGAUAGUGAGUUACAAAGAGAGAGAAAGUAGAGAGAGUGUGUGAGGGAAAAAACAGAUCAUAUCGACAACGAGGCCGGUUUGGUGCGUGCGACGUGCGAUAUGACAGGUGGCCCAUAACCAGAAGGCCAGAGAGAGAUAACGCAUGAUGGAGUGUAGAGAAGAAAGUGAAUUGCGAUGGUGGCCAGGCGCGGUUCCACGCAUUCAAACCUUUCUCUUAUGCGAUUUUGCCAUAUCCAAGCCAGAUCUACGUGUGCGGCUCGUUCUGUG
Molecule: long non-coding RNA, 389 nt
Filed under: Carica papaya (papaya)
Lineage: Eukaryota; Viridiplantae; Streptophyta; Magnoliopsida; Brassicales; Caricaceae
Description: long non-coding RNA (CPAP_LNC014953)
Source: RNAcentral